CCUACGGGAGGCAGCAGUGAGGAAUAUUGGUCAAUGGGCGCGAGCCUGAACCAGCCAAGUAGCGUGAAGGAUGACUGCCCUACGGGUUGUAAACUUCUUUUAUAAAGGAAUAAAGUGAGGCACGUGUGCCUUUUUGUAUGUACCUUAUGAAUAAGGAUCGGCUAACUCCGUGCCAGCAGCCGCGGUAAUACGGAGGAUCCGAGCGUUAUCCGGAUUUAUUGGGGUUAAAGGGAGCGUAGAUGGGUUGUUAAGUCAGUUGUGAAAGGUUGGGGCUCAACCGUAAAAUUGCAGUUGAAACUGGCAGUCUGGAGUACAGUAGAGGUGGGCGGAAUUCGUGGUGUAGCGGUGAAAUGCUUAGAUAUCACGAAGAACACCGAUUGCGAAGGCAGCUCACUGGACUGCAACUGACACUGAGGCUCGAAAGUGUGGGUAUCAAACAGGAUUAGAUACCCCUGUAGUC
RNAcentral lists this ribosomal RNA (460 nucleotides) under uncultured bacterium. Its description in RNAcentral is "partial 16S ribosomal RNA". It matches the Rfam family "Bacterial small subunit ribosomal RNA", at positions 338 to 795 of the family's 1533-position model. The record is from RNAcentral.